This 103-nucleotide microRNA precursor is filed under the name Marmota monax (woodchuck). Lineage: Eukaryota; Metazoa; Chordata; Mammalia; Rodentia; Sciuridae. The record is from RNAcentral.
AGUAGGGUAGCUGUGUCAAAUGGUAGAUCCAUUCCAAGUUUUCUGAGGAAUCUCCAUACUGCUUUCCAGAGUGGUUGCACCAAUUUGCAGUCCCACCAGCAAU